CUUUUUUUUUUUUUUUUUUUUUUUUUUUUUUUUUUUUUUUUUUUAUUAUUACGGUUUUAUGCUCAUUUAUCUUUAUAGAUACGUACUAAUGGACGUUUGGGUAUGUGAAGAUUUUGAAUUUUCGAAGGGGAUAUUUAUAUAUGCUACGAACUUCCCUAAAUCGUCUUUAAUAACAAAGAAUAUAAAUUUAUACAAUGAAACAUGCAUAGAGAUCGAUAUAACUACGAAUAUAUUUAUUUUGCCUCAAGGGUCUGAAGAAACUCUAGUCAAAAGCUAUAUAGAAAUAUCUCCAAAUAUGAACCUAAAUGAAACGCUAGUUUCGUUUGUAACAAAAGUGUUCACAAAAAGCUGUUUGACUCACUUUAUUGAUGCAUGUAAAAAAUUCGAAUCAAAUAAGGAAUAUACUGAAAGAUUGCAAAAAAAUAAUUUAUUUUAUGACCAUUUGAAGAAGGCUGCAAAGGAAUGUAAGUUAUAUUAAUAGAGCAGAAAAAAAAAAAAAAAAAAAAAAAAUAUAUAUAUAUAUAUAUAUAUAUAUAAUAAAAUAUAACAUAAUAUAACA
RNAcentral lists this long non-coding RNA (559 nucleotides) under Piliocolobus tephrosceles (Ugandan red Colobus). Its description in RNAcentral is "lncRNA (ENSPTEG00000014106.1)". The record is from RNAcentral. Lineage: Eukaryota; Metazoa; Chordata; Mammalia; Primates; Cercopithecidae.